GAGAGCGAUUAGAGACAAGAUUUUGACAUCUUUAUUUAGACUAGAUUUUUGUUUUAGUUUGAUGCAAGAUUUUGGAAUAUUAUUGGUUGUGUAAGACUUUUAGUCAUGUUAAUUAAUUAGAAUUUAAACAUUAUUAUUUAAAUUAUUUCUACUGUUUGAUUAUGAUAUCAUGUUGAAAUGCCAUGCAUGCUCGUGGUGAGAGUUUUCUAUAAGUAUGUGGUGGUUGCCGCAACCUCCAGCUUGUGAUCUCGGAAUAGGGGC
RNAcentral lists this long non-coding RNA (261 nucleotides) under Phoenix dactylifera (date palm). RNAcentral describes it as "long non-coding RNA (PDAC_LNC010597)". The record is from RNAcentral. Lineage: Eukaryota; Viridiplantae; Streptophyta; Magnoliopsida; Arecales; Arecaceae.